This 468-nucleotide ribosomal RNA is filed under the name uncultured bacterium. RNAcentral's name for it is "partial 16S ribosomal RNA". It matches the Rfam family "Bacterial small subunit ribosomal RNA", at positions 28 to 507 of the family's 1533-position model. The record is from RNAcentral.
GACGAACGCUGGCGGCGUGCUUAACACAUGCAAGUCGAACGGAAAGGCCCUGCUUUUGUGGGGUGCUCGAGUGGCGAACGGGUGAGUAACACGUGAGUAACCUGCCCUUGACUUUGGGAUAACUUCAGGAAACUGGGGCUAAUACCGGAUAGGAGCUCCUGCUGCAUGGUGGGGGUUGGAAAGUUUCGGCGGUUGGGGAUGGACUCGCGGCUUAUCAGCUUGUUGGUGGGGUAGUGGCUUACCAAGGCUUUGACGGGUAGCCGGCCUGAGAGGGUGACCGGCCACAUUGGGACUGAGAUACGGCCCAGACUCCUACGGGAGGCAGCAGUGGGGAAUAUUGCACAAUGAGCGGAAGCCUGAUGCAGCAACGCCGCGUGCGGGAUGACGGGUUUCGGGUUGUAAACCGCUUUCGCCUGUGACGAAGAGUGAGUGACGGUAAUGGGUAAAGAAGCACCGGCUAACUACGUG